This 195-nucleotide ribosomal RNA is filed under the name uncultured delta proteobacterium. RNAcentral describes it as "partial 16S ribosomal RNA". It matches the Rfam family "Bacterial small subunit ribosomal RNA", at positions 430 to 603 of the family's 1533-position model. Lineage: Bacteria; Deltaproteobacteria. The record is from RNAcentral.
CCUCWGUCRGGAGGGUCGGUCGGGACGAUGUGGUGUCACUCGGCCGAUGCGGUGUGACGGUMACCAUCAGAGGAAGCACCGGCUAACUAUCGUCGCCAGCAGCCGCGGUAAUACGGACGGGGGCAAUCGUUAUUCGGAAUUACUGGGCCGUAAAGCAGCGACGUAGGCGGSUUCGUWAGUCAGGGGUGCAAUCUC